GGCGUUAAGUUGCAGGGUAUAGACCCGAAACCCGGUGAUCUAGCCAUGGGCAGGUUGAAGGUUGGGUAACACUAACUGGAGGACCGAACCGACUAAUGUUGAAAAAUUAGCGGAUGACUUGUGGCUGGGGGUGAAAGGCCAAUCAAACCGGGAGAUAGCUGGUUCUCCCCGAAAGCUAUUUAGGUAGCGCCUCGUGAAUUCAUCUCCGGGGGUAGAGCACUGUUUCGGCAAGGGGGUCAUCCCGACUUACCAACCCGAUGCAAACUGCGAAUACCGGAGAAUGUUAUCACGGGAGACACACGGCGGGUGCUAACGUCCGUCGUGAAGAGGGAAACAACCCAGACCGCCAGCUAAGGUCCCAAAGUCAUGGUUAAGUGGGAAACGAUGUGGGAAGGCCCAGACAGCCAGGAUGUUGGCUUAGAAGCAGCCAUCAUUUAAAGAAAGCGUAAUAGCUCACUGGUCGAGUCGGCCUGCGCGGAAGAUGUAACGGGGCUAAACCAUG
This 502-nucleotide ribosomal RNA is filed under the name Escherichia coli. Its description in RNAcentral is "partial 23S ribosomal RNA". It matches the Rfam family "Bacterial large subunit ribosomal RNA", at positions 691 to 1191 of the family's 2925-position model. Lineage: Bacteria; Pseudomonadati; Pseudomonadota; Gammaproteobacteria; Enterobacterales; Enterobacteriaceae. The record is from RNAcentral. RNAcentral also lists the same sequence under 1 other name.